RNAcentral lists this ribosomal RNA (260 nucleotides) under Rhizobium leguminosarum. Its description in RNAcentral is "16S ribosomal RNA". It matches the Rfam family "Bacterial small subunit ribosomal RNA", at positions 46 to 334 of the family's 1533-position model. The record is from RNAcentral. Lineage: Bacteria; Pseudomonadati; Pseudomonadota; Alphaproteobacteria; Hyphomicrobiales; Rhizobiaceae.
AGGCUUAACACAUGCAAGUCGAGCGCCCCGCAAGGGGAGCGGCAGACGGGUGAGUAACGCGUGGGAACGUACCCUUUACUACGGAAUAACGCAGGGAAACUUGUGCUAAUACCGUAUGUGCCCUUCGGGGGAAAGAUUUAUCGGUAAGGGAUCGGCCCGCGUUGGAUUAGCUAGUUGGUGGGGUAAAGGCCUACCAAGGCGACGAUCCAUAGCUGGUCUGAGAGGAUGAUCAGCCACAUUGGGACUGAGACACGGCCCAA